Molecule: ribosomal RNA, 553 nt
Filed under: Pseudomonas sp. G2SF38
Lineage: Bacteria; Pseudomonadati; Pseudomonadota; Gammaproteobacteria; Pseudomonadales; Pseudomonadaceae
Description: bacterial SSU rRNA
Rfam family: Bacterial small subunit ribosomal RNA
Source: RNAcentral
GCGCUAUCAGAUGAGCCUAGAUCGGAUUAGCUAGUUGGUGAGGUAAUGGCUCACCCAAGGCGACGAUCCGUAACUGGUUCUGAGAGGAUGAUCAGUCACACUGGAACUGAGACACGGUCCAGACUCCUACGGGAGGCAGCAGUGGGGAAUAUUGCACAAUGGGCGCAAGCCUGAUCCAGCCAUGCCGCGUGUGUGAAGAAGGUCCUUCGGAUUGUAAAGCACUUUAAGUUGGGAGGAAGGGCAUUAACGCUAAUACGUUAGUGUUUUGACGUUACUGACAGAAUAAGCACCGGCUAACUCUGUGCCAGCAGCCGCGGUAAUACAGAGGGUGCAAGCGUUAAUCGGAAUUACUGGGCGUAAAGCGCGACGUAGGUGGUUUGUUAAGUUGGAUGUGAAAUCCCCGGGCUCAACCGUGGGAACUGCAUUCAAAACUGACUGAGCUAGAGUAUGGUAGAGGGUGGUGGAAUUUCCUGUGUAGCGGUGAAAUGCGUAGAUAUAGGAAGGAACACCAGUGGCGAAGGCGACCACCUGGACUAAUACUGACACUGAGGUG